Molecule: ribosomal RNA, 253 nt
Filed under: uncultured bacterium
Lineage: Bacteria
Description: partial 16S ribosomal RNA
Rfam family: Bacterial small subunit ribosomal RNA
Source: RNAcentral
GACGGAGGGGGCUAGCGUUGUUCGGAAUCACUGGGCGUAAAGCGUACGCAGGCGGCUUUUUAAGUCAGAAGUGAAAGCCCGGGGCUUAACCUCGGAAGUGCUUUUGAUACUGGAAAGCUAGAGAUCUAGAGGGGUUAAUGGAAUUCCCAGUGUAGAGGUGAAAUUCGUAGAUAUUGGGAGGAACACCAGCGGCGAAAGCGAUUAACUGGCUAGAUACUGACGCUCAUGUACGAAAGCGUGGGGAGCAAACAGG